UACAGAGGUCUCAAGCGUUGUUCGGAUUCAUUGGGCGUAAAGGGUGCGUAGGUGGCGCCGUAAGUCAGGUGUGAAAUUUCGGAGCUUAACUCCGAAACUGCAUUUGAUACUGCGGUGCUUGAGGACGGGAGAGGAGACUGGAAUUUACGGUGUAGCAGUGAAAUGCGUAGAGAUCGUAAGGAAGACCAGUGGCGAAGGCGGGUCUCUGGACAGUUCCUGACACUGAGGCACGAAGGCCAGGGGAGCAAACGGG
RNAcentral lists this ribosomal RNA (253 nucleotides) under uncultured bacterium. RNAcentral describes it as "partial 16S ribosomal RNA". It matches the Rfam family "Bacterial small subunit ribosomal RNA", at positions 524 to 776 of the family's 1533-position model. The record is from RNAcentral.